CAUCUGACCUGCGUUUGAUUCUCAGGAAAAUCGUUGUUUUCCCUCGCGUUUUUUAGCAUGUUGAUUACCUCAUAGCUGUAAGAUGGCAGCUGUGCAUCCAGACAUCACAUCCACGUUCCAGGCAGGAAGGAAAGGCGGAAGGAAUAUUAAGCAACGCCUCAAAAGAUUUUCCAGGGCUGCUUUCUCCGGCUGGUGGAUUGUCUCUUGCCGGUCUGGUGCCGAUGGUUGAUUGUGUC
Molecule: long non-coding RNA, 236 nt
Organism: Physeter macrocephalus (sperm whale)
Lineage: Eukaryota; Metazoa; Chordata; Mammalia; Artiodactyla; Physeteridae
Exons: 3
Source: RefSeq, a predicted model, not a curated record